CAAGCAUGGACGGCGUCUUGAAGGAGCCCUGCCGCGUGCAGUGAUGAAUGCCUUCGGGUUGUAAACUGCUUUUAUCUGUGACGAAUAUGACGGUAGCAGAUGAAUAAGGACCGGCUAACUCCGUGCCAGCAGCCGCGGUAAUUAA
RNAcentral lists this ribosomal RNA (145 nucleotides) under uncultured bacterium. Its description in RNAcentral is "partial 16S ribosomal RNA". It matches the Rfam family "Bacterial small subunit ribosomal RNA", at positions 368 to 525 of the family's 1533-position model. The record is from RNAcentral.